Molecule: ribosomal RNA, 406 nt
Filed under: uncultured bacterium
Lineage: Bacteria
Description: partial 16S ribosomal RNA
Rfam family: Bacterial small subunit ribosomal RNA
Source: RNAcentral
AUUGAACGCUGGCGGCAGGCUUAACACAUGCAAGUCGAGCGAGCGGCGGACGGGUGAGUAAUGUCUGGGAAACUGCCUGAUGGAGGGGGAUAACUACUGGAAACGGUAGCUAAUACCGCAUACCAUCAGAUGUGCCCAGAUGGGAUUAUUUAGUGGGUGGGGUAAUGGCUCACCUAGGCGACGAUCCCUCGCUGGUCUGAGAGGAUGACCGGCAAAACGGGAACUGGGACACGGUCCAGACUCCUACGGGAGGCAGCAGUGGGGAAUAUUGGACAAUGGGCGAAAGCCGGAUGCAGCCAUGCCGGGGGUGUGAAGAAGGCCUUCGGGUGGUAAAGCACUUUCAGCGAGGAGGCGUUACUCGCAGAAGAAGCACCGGCUAACUACGUGCCAGCAGCCGCGGUAAUAC